UACCAGCUCUCCGAGUGGUGGGGACAUUUAUUGAGCCUAAAGCGCCCGUAGCCUGCUCGGCAAGUCUUCCGUUAAAUCCAACGAUCCAAUCGUUGGACUGCGGGAGAUACUGUCAGGCUAGGGGGCGGGAGAAGCCGACGGUACUCUUAGGGUAGGGGUGAAAUCCUAUAAUCCUAGGAGGACCACCAGUGGCGAAGGCGGUCGGCUAGAACGCGCCCGACGGUGAGGGACGAAAGCUGGGGGAGCGAACCGGAUUAGAUACCCGGGUAGUCCCAGCUGUAAACGAUGCAGGCUAGGUGUUGGAGUGAUCACGAAUCACUCCAGUGCCGCAGGGAAGCUGAUAAGCCUGUCGCUUGGGGAGUACGGUCGCAAGACUGAAACUUAAAGGAAUUGGCGGGGGAGCACCACAAGGGGUGAAGCUUGCGGUUCAAUUGGAGUCAACACCGGAAAUCUUACCGGGGGCGACAGCAGUAUGAAGGCCAGAUUGAAGGUCUUGCUGGACGAGCUGAGAGGAGGUGCAUGGCCGUCGCCAGUUCGUGCCGUGAGGUGUCCUGUUAAGUCAGGCAACGAUCGAGACCCACACCUCUUGUUGCCAGCGGCACCCCGGAAGGGGGCCGGGCAAACUAGAGGGACCGCCGCCGAUAAGGUGGAGGAAGGAGUGGGCCACGGCAGGUCAGUAUGCCCCGAAUCUCCCGGGCCACACGCGAGCUGCAAUGGCAGGGACAAUGGGUUCCGACCUCGAAAGGGGGAGGUAAUCUUUAAACCCUGCCUCAGUUGGGAUCGAGGGCUGUAACUCGCCCUCGUGAACAUGGAAUCCCUAGUAAUCGCGCGUCACUAGCGCGCGGUGAAUACGUCCCCGCUCCU
Molecule: ribosomal RNA, 864 nt
Filed under: uncultured archaeon
Lineage: Archaea
Description: SSU rRNA
Rfam family: Archaeal small subunit ribosomal RNA
Source: RNAcentral